RNAcentral lists this long non-coding RNA (250 nucleotides) under Oryza brachyantha (malo sina). RNAcentral's name for it is "long non-coding RNA (OBRA_LNC000791)". The record is from RNAcentral. Lineage: Eukaryota; Viridiplantae; Streptophyta; Magnoliopsida; Poales; Poaceae.
CCUCAGUGCACACCAUUUAUCAUAUGGGCAGAGCUCCGGUGUUCCGUGACCUCGGCGAUCUCCGACGGAAUCUAUUGUUAAAUUGGCUAGGGAAUGAAUAUAACGCUAAAAAUUAAGUAAGAUUAGUGUAUUUCGAUAUCAAUGUGUCAGUGAACUAGUUUUUCUAGCUCUGAUAUGGUUUAUCGUGAUCCUCCUAGCCCACAAUACCUGAUAUCUUCCCUAAGUGAGAGGUCAUGCUAAUUAGAUUGAA